AUGGGAGAUUUUCCAGCGUAGCUGACCGGCCGCCAUCUUGCUACAGUCAACAGUUACUCUGAUUUGCGCUAUGGUAGCUGUUGUAAGAAGUACCUGACUAUGCCGGACUUUUGUGCAGCCUACGGCUGCUCUAAUCACCGCAGUCUGCAAACAAGAACCCGUGGGAUCACCUUUCACGUGUUUAAGGCAGUGGGAACUCGCCCUAAGAAGAGACGGUUUUGUUUCCUGUGACAGGACACUGCUCUGCAGUGAGCACUUCAGGAGUGAGGAAUUUGACCGGACAGGGCAGACUAAUGGUGAAUCGCUACCACUAGGAGCAUAUAUCGCCACCUACUAUGUAUUUAUUAAAUCUUCAUGUUCCAUGAGACGCAGCACUAUGUUCCCCACAUAUGUUUAUGUUUGCUCAGUCUAAUAAACCCAUAACAUGGUUGUGAAAGAAUACCAAA
Long non-coding RNA from Gymnodraco acuticeps, 446 nucleotides. RefSeq lists it as uncharacterized. The transcript has 3 exons. Lineage: Eukaryota; Metazoa; Chordata; Actinopteri; Perciformes; Bathydraconidae. The record is from RefSeq and is a predicted model, not a curated record.